RNAcentral lists this ribosomal RNA (1297 nucleotides) under uncultured bacterium. RNAcentral describes it as "bacterial SSU rRNA". It matches the Rfam family "Bacterial small subunit ribosomal RNA", at positions 198 to 1501 of the family's 1533-position model. The record is from RNAcentral.
AGAGUAAAGCUUCGGCGGUUUGGGAUAAGCCCGCGUCCUAUCAGGUUGUUGGUGAGGUAAUGGCUCACCAAGCCUAUAACGGGUAGCUGAUCUGAGAGGAUGGUCGGCCAGACUGGGACUGAGAUACGGCCCAGACUCCUACGGGAGGCAGCAACUAGGAAUUAUGCGCAAUGGACGAAAGUCUGACGCUGCGACAUCGCGUGGAGGAUGAAGGUCUUCGGAUCGUAAACUCCUUUUAUUGGGGAACAAGUUCUGAGGGUACCCAAUGAAUAAGUGCCUGCCAACCACGUGCCAGAAGCAUCGGUAAUACGUGGGACACAAGCGUUAUCCGGAUUUACUGGGCGUAAAGAGAUGCGUAGGUGUCUUAGUAAGUUCUGUGUUAAAUCCCAAUGCUCACCAUUGGAAUCGCAUAGAAAACUAUUAAGAUUGAGCCAAAUAGAGGAAAGGGGAAUUCCUGGUGGAGCGGUUAAAUGCGUUGAUAUCAGGAGGAAUACCAAUGGCGAAGGCACCUUUCUGGAUUUGUGCUGACACUAAGGCUCGAAAGCGUGGGGAGCAAAACGGAAUUAGAUACCCCGUGGUAGUCCACGCUGUAAACAAUCCUCGUUAGAUUUCUGUCUUAGCCUUUUUAUUUUUUCCUUCGGAAAAGUUUGAGGCCUGAUGGGAGUCGAAAGCUAAAGCGUUAAAAGAAGGCGCCUGGGAAGUACGGGCCGCAAGGCUAAAACCCAAAGGAAUUGACGGGGAACCGCACAAGCAGUGGAGCGCGCUGGUCUAAUUCGAUGAUCAGCGAAGAACCUCACCUGGGCUUAAACUGUAGCUGCACGCCUCCAGAAAAGGAGGAAGCCUUCGAGGGUGCUACAGAGGUGGUGCAUGGCUGUUGUCAGCUCGUGUCGUGAGAUGUAGGGUUAAGUCCCACAACGAGCGCAACCCCUAUCCGAUGUUACAAUUACUUCGGAGACUGCCCCGCUUUAACGGGGAGGAAGGAGGGGAUGACUUCCAGUCAUCAUGUCCCUUAUGUCCAGGGCUACACAGACGCUACAAUGGCUAUUACAAUGGGUUGCCAAACCGCGAGGUGGAGCUAAUCCCAUCAAAAAUAGUCUCAGUUCAGAUUGCAGGCUGCAACUCGCCUGCAUGAAGUCGGAAUUGCUAGUAAUCGCGUAUCAGCACGGCGCGGUGAAUACGUUCUCGGUUCUUGUACACACCGCCCGUCAGGGCAUGGGAGUUGCUCUUGCUCGAAGUUCUCGUUUACCGAGGCCGACAGUAAGGGUGACGACUGGGCUUAAGUCGUAACAAGGUAACC